AGAUUGAACGCUGGCGGCAGGCCUAACACAUGCAAGUCGAGCGGUAGAGAGGUGCUUGCAUCUCUUGAGAGCGGCGGACGGGUGAGUAAUGCCUAGGAAUCUGCCUAGUGGUGGGGGAUAACGUUCGGAAACGGACGCUAAUACCGCAUACGUCCUACGGGAGAAAGCGGGGGACCUUCGGGCCUCGCGCCAUUAGAUGAGCCUAGGUCGGAUUAGCUAGUUGGUGAGGUAAUGGCUCACCAAGGCGACGAUCCGUAACUGGUCUGGAGAGGAUGAUCAGUCACACUGGAACUGAGACACGGUCAGACCUCCGUACGGGAGCAGCGAGGUAGGGGAAUAGUUGGAACAAGUUCGGGGACGAAAGCCUUGACGUCC
Molecule: ribosomal RNA, 375 nt
Filed under: uncultured soil bacterium
Lineage: Bacteria
Description: bacterial SSU rRNA
Rfam family: Bacterial small subunit ribosomal RNA
Source: RNAcentral